CAUAUUAAAGGGAGAAAAGAUAGGGCCUAGUGUCCACAUGUUCCCAUCAAUUUCCAGGUGGGCUCUAGAUAGAAACUGGGAAGCAAACGGCAUCCGUAGCCACAAAAAGGGGCGGAGCUGGAGCUGGCAGUGACUUUGCAAUUGGUG
This is a long non-coding RNA of Thalassophryne amazonica, 147 nucleotides long. RefSeq lists it as uncharacterized. The transcript is spliced from 3 exons. The record is from RefSeq and is a predicted model, not a curated record. NCBI's taxonomy places the organism in Eukaryota, Metazoa, Chordata, Actinopteri, Batrachoidiformes, Batrachoididae.